Molecule: ribosomal RNA, 497 nt
Filed under: uncultured bacterium
Lineage: Bacteria
Description: partial 16S ribosomal RNA
Rfam family: Bacterial small subunit ribosomal RNA
Source: RNAcentral
GAUGAACGCUGGCGGCGUGCCUAAUACAUGCAAGUCGAGCGAACAGACGAGGAGCUUGCUCCUUUGACGUUAGCGGCGGACGGGUGAGUAACACGUAGGUAACCUACCUAUAAGACUGGGAUAACUUCGGGAAACCGGAGCUAAUACCGGAUAAUAUUUCGAACCGCAUGGUUCGAUAGUGAAAGAUGGCUUUGCUAUCACUUAUAGAUGGACCUGCGCCGUAUUAGCUAGUUGGUAAGGUAACGGCUUACCAAGGCAACGAUACGUAGCCGACCUGAGAGGGUGAUCGGCCACACUGGAACUGAGACACGGUCCAGACUCCUACGGGUGGCAGCAGUAGGGAAUCUUCCGCAAUGGGCGAAAGCCUGACGGAGCAACGCCGCGUGAGUGAUGAAGGUCUUCGGAUCGUAAAACUCUGUUAUUAGGGAAGAACAAACGUGUAAGUAACUGUGCACGUCUUGACGGUACCUAAUCAGAAAGCCACGGCUAACUACGUG